UACGGAGGGAGCUAGCGUUGUUCGGAAUUACUGGGCGUAAAGCGCGCGUAGGCGGUCUUGUAAGUUAGAGGUGAAAGCCCGGGGCUCAACUCCGGAACUGCCUUUAAGACUGCAAGACUAGAAUCCGGGAGAGGUAAGCGGAAUUCCGAGUGUAGAGGUGAAAUUCGUAGAUAUUCGGAGGAACACCAGUGGCGAAGGCGGCUCACUGGCUCGAUACUGACGCUGAGGUGCGAAAGCGUGGGGAGCAAACAGG
Molecule: ribosomal RNA, 253 nt
Filed under: uncultured bacterium
Lineage: Bacteria
Description: partial 16S ribosomal RNA
Rfam family: Bacterial small subunit ribosomal RNA
Source: RNAcentral